UGGAAUUUCCAAAAUGGCUUUUGUUACCAUGGAAACAAUGCAAAAAAAUUCAAAAAAAAUAAAAAUGCUACAAACUGGAUGAAACUUUACAGAAAUGGUCACUCGCAUAUGCAGAGUGACUUUUGACGUUGGAAUUUUUAAAAUGGCCGCCGUAACCAUGGAAACAGCAAAAAUGUCCAAAAUAUCAAAAUGCUCCAAACCGAAAGUUUACAAAAAUGAUAAUUUUCAGGUGUAGAUGCAUUCUUUGACUUUACAAUUUUCUAAAUGGCUGCCGCUCGCCUGGCAAUAGGGGAAGGGUGCCAUCCGCUAUUGCUUGCAAUGGCAAAUCUAGUUAUGGCACCCUCAACGGAGUUGGGGUGAUAUAUUGUUAUUGUUCGUUUCUUUUUUUUAUGGCACCCUCAACGGAGUUGGGGUGACAUAUUGCUUUUCUACGUUUCUUUUUUUCUUAUUAUGGCACCCUCAACGGAGUUGGGGUGACAUAUUGUUAUUCUACGUUUCUUUUUUUUCUUUUUAUUAUGUCACCCGAUCGACAAUGUCGGGUGACAUAUUGCUAUUCCUCUGUUUCUUUUUCACUAUUCUUAUUAUUAUUUUUCUUCCACCUACUUUUGUCCGGCAGUUUUCUCAGAGCCAAUGGAACCAAUCUUAAUGAUAGUUCACUAUAACAAGGACCCCUGACUUUAGAGUUGCAGUGCAACUUUGGAACUAUAAAAUGGCUGCCGUUACCAUGGAAACAGCAAAAAUGUGAAAAAAAAUCAAAAUUGAAAAUCCAUUCAAUCUUUCAUCAUUAGACCCAACAUGAUGAAACUUUAUGGGAAUGUUGCCUGGCAUGCCAAGAUGUGUUAACCAUAUUUAUAAAUUCCAAAAUGGCUGUUAUUACCAUGGAAACUGGAUACACAUUUACCAUUAGACCCUAUGGGAAAUUCUUAAAAGUGGCAUUUACUUCCUUAAAAUGGUAGGUCAAAUCCAUUGAAACUCUGAUGGCAUUUUCCCUCCCAUAUACCAAUGUGGUAUCUGCCAUUAGAAAUUUGGAAUGGUCUGUGUUACCAUAGAAACAAGCCAAAAUAUCAAAAAUUUCAAAAUGCUCAAAAAAUAAUGAAACUUAACAUGAUUGUUACUGUCAAGUAUGCAUGAGACUUUUGGAGUUGGAAUUUCCAAAAUGGCCACCGUUGCCAUGGAAACUGCAGAAAUGUCAAAUAUUUUCAAAAUGCUCCAAACUUAAUCAAACUUAAUAUUAUUGUCAACUGGCAUGUAUAAAUGAGACUUUUGACUUUGGAAUUUUCAAAAUGGCUGCCGUUGCCAUGGAAACAGCAGAAAUGUGAAACUUUUGACAAUGCUCUUAUUGUACUGAAAAUGUACAGAAAGAUAUAUCGCAAUUCAUAGAUCUUCAUUUACUGUUAGGUUGUUUUGAAAUGGCUACCGCUUAGUGGCAAUGGGGGGAAGGGUGACAUCCGCUAUUGCUUGCAAUGGCAAU
Molecule: long non-coding RNA, 1471 nt
Filed under: Mytilus galloprovincialis (Mediterranean mussel)
Lineage: Eukaryota; Metazoa; Mollusca; Bivalvia; Mytilida; Mytilidae
Source: RNAcentral